GGCUAUUUUGGAUUACUGAACGAGUGGAGUCGGAUUUUGCGCGGCGGCAAAUUCUUAAAGUAGUCGCACAAGUUAUAUCUUAUUAGUUAAAUCUAUUAUACUCGAAUUAAUAUUACGAUAAUUGUGAUAAAAAACAAUAAAUAAAAUCUAUUAGGUUCUUUUUAUGAAUUUUUUAUACGAGAAUGAUAUUAACGAGUAAAAUUUCUUUUUUAAAAAUGCGUUUAAUCAUGCUUGAUUGUUAAAAGAACAAUUCGAACGGGUCGCCAUCUUAUACGUUAACCGACCAAUCAAAGAUAAGAAUUAAGUGACGUUCAGUAGAUUCGAGGUGUUUGAUCGUCACACAAUUGUACCUGGAAUCUUAAUCGAACCCUUUAUUCUUUGGUGUUUCAUUCCAGGAGCUCGUUGCGUAUAUUUAAAUAUUACUUGAAUAGUGGUACGUGCAUUAUAAAAAGAAUUCAUUUUUUAAAUAAGAUAAAUUAUAUAUAUUCAAGAUGAUAUCCAAAGUACUCAUGGAGUUACCAACAGUACCAUUUCCACAAGGAAAAAAACCAUCUUCACAUGAUAUAACUUUAAACAAGAAGACCGAUGGAAUGAUACAAACUAGACAACAAAAUAUGAACGUAGAUAGAGCAACUCAAUUAGAGCAAAAUGUGAAAUUUCUACAAGAACAACAUCAAGCAACUUUGCUUGCUUUACAUCAAGAAGUUGAAAUGUUACGUCAAAGAAAUAGAGAUUUGCAAUUUCAAUUGACUUUUUCAAAAGGAACAACUUGUAUACCUAGCAGUCCUUCUUCCCCUGAAGAUAAUGGAAAUGGGUUCGCUAAACCAAAGGGUAGCCCAGUAUCCAUGAACGUCACACCUUUGAAGGUUGAACUUUUGGAAAAAGAAUUGCGGGAUGUUAAAGACUCAUUACAAAGUGUUAAAGCAUACAACAAAGUUUUAACGGAAGUUAUAUUAAAGCAACAAGAACACGUGGAGGAAUUAGGAAAACAAAAUCAGAAAAUAGAUGUGGCAAGUGUAGGAAUACAAGUAGGAAGCAAAUCAGAAUCUGCUCAAGAAGAUAUAGUAGCACGUUUGGCAGAUGCGCAUGAGGUGAUAAAACAAUUGCAUAUGGAAAAUAAACAUCAACAAAAGGAAAUUGCAACGUUAAAGGCAGCAUCAGCAAAUAAUGGAGACACAGAGCUACUCACAUCGCAGUGUUCAGAGAAACGGAAGAAAUCGAUAUGACAGACUGGAUCUUCACUCAGACGUUGAAAAUACUGCAUUACCACAGCUUCAAAAUGAUUACUAUAAUCGUAAAUACAGAUGUCAAGAUUCGCAAAGGGAUCGCAGAGAUUCUGUGAAUCGUUAUUACAGACGCGAUUACAAAGAUAGA
RNAcentral lists this unclassified non-coding RNA (1374 nucleotides) under Polistes canadensis. RNAcentral describes it as "uncharacterized LOC106789698, transcript variant X4". Lineage: Eukaryota; Metazoa; Arthropoda; Insecta; Hymenoptera; Vespidae. The record is from RNAcentral.